RNAcentral lists this ribosomal RNA (373 nucleotides) under uncultured eukaryote. RNAcentral's name for it is "partial 18S ribosomal RNA". It matches the Rfam family "Eukaryotic small subunit ribosomal RNA", at positions 592 to 976 of the family's 1831-position model. The record is from RNAcentral.
CAAUAGCGUAUAUUAAAGUUGUUGCAGUUAAAAAGCUCGUAGUUGAAUUUUUGCUUGCCGCCGAUGUCGGAACUUCCGUACGUUCGGCGGCGUGCAUCCUUGGGUGGAACCUGUGUGGCAUUAGGUUGUCGUGAAGGGGAUGCUCAUCGUUUACUGUGAAAAAAUUAGAGUGUUCAAAGCAGGCUUACGCCGUUGAAUAUAUUAGCAUGGAAUAAUAAGAUAGGACCUUGGUACUAUUUUGUUGGUUUGCGCACCGAGGUAAUGAUUAACAGGGACAGUUGGGGGUAUUCGUAUUCCAUUGUCAGAGGUGAAAUUCUUGGAUUUCUGGAAGACGAACUACUGCGAAAGCAUUUACCAAGGAUGUUUUCAUUAA